CUGGUUGAUCCUGCCAGACCCGACUGCUAUCAGAGUGGGACUAAGCCAUGCGAGUCAACGUAGCAAUACGUGGCAUACGGCUCAGUAACACGUAGUCAACAUGCCCAGGGGACGUGGAUAACCUCGGGAAACUGAGGAUAAACCGCGAUAAGCCAUGAUUUCUGGAAUGAUUCAUGACUAAAACCUAUAUGGCCCCUGGAUUGGACUGCGGCCGAUCAGGCUGUUGGUGAGGUAAUGGCCCACCAAACCUAUUACCGGUACGGGCUUUGAGAGGAGGAGCCCGGAGAUGGGCACUGAGACAAGGGCCCAGGCCCUAUGGGGCGCAGCAGGCGCGAAACCUCUGCAAUAGGCGAAAGCUUGACAGGGUUACUCUGAGUGAUUUCCGCUAAGGGAAUCUUUUGGCACCUCUAAAAAUGGUGCAGAAUAAGGGGUGGGCAAGUCUGGUGUCAGCCGCCGCGGUAAUACCAGCACCCCGAGUGGUCGGGACGAUUAUUGGGCCUAAAGCAUCCGUAGCCGGUCCUGCAAGUCUUCCGUUAAAUCCAGCUGCUUAACAGAUGGGCCGCAGGAGAUACUACAGGGCUAGGAGGCGGGAGAGGCAAGCGGUACUUUAUGGGUAGGGGUAAAAUCCGCUGAUCCAUAGAAGACCACCAGUGGCGAAGGCGGCUUACCAUAACGCGCUCGACGGUGAGGGAUGAAAGCU
This 700-nucleotide ribosomal RNA is filed under the name uncultured archaeon. RNAcentral describes it as "bacterial SSU rRNA". It matches the Rfam family "Archaeal small subunit ribosomal RNA", at positions 4 to 712 of the family's 1478-position model. The record is from RNAcentral.